GGUGGGGGGGCCAGAGCCACAGGAUGGCUUCCCCUCUGAGGGACGAGGAGGAGGAGGAGGAGGAGAUGGUGGUGUCGGAGGAGGAAGAAGAGGAGGAAGAAGAGGGCGACGAGGAGGAGGAGGAGGUGGAGGCGGCCGACGAGGACGAUGAGGAGGACGAUGACGAGGGAGUACUCGGGCGCGGGCCGGGCCACGACCGGGGCCGCGACCGCCACAGCCCCCCCGGCUGCCACCUCUUCCCGCCGCCGCCGCCGCCGCCGCCGCCACCGCUGCCCCCGCCGCCGCCGCCCCCGCCGCCAGAUAAAGAUGACAUUCGGCUGCUGCCUUCGGCAUUGGGUGUGAAGAAGAGAAAACGAGGACCCAAGAAGCAGAAGGAGAACAAGCCAGGGAAACCCCGAAAACGCAAGAAGCGUGACAGUGAGGAGGAAUUCGGUUCUGAGCGAGAUGAGUACCGGGAGAAGUCAGAGAGUGGGGGCAGUGAAUAUGGAACCGGACCGGGUCGGAAACGAAGAAGGAAGCACCGAGAAAAAAAGGAGAAGAAGACAAAGCGGCGGAAAAAGGGGGAGGGAGAUGGGGGGCAAAAGCAGGUGGAGCAGAAGUCGUCAGCAACUCUGCUCCUGACAUGGGGCCUGGAGGACGUGGAACAUGUGUUCUCUGAGGAGGAUUACCACACACUCACCAACUACAAAGCCUUUAGCCAGUUCAUGAGGCCCCUAAUUGCUAAGAAGAAUCCUAAGAUCCCAAUGUCUAAGAUGAUGACCAUCCUUGGGGCCAAAUGGAGAGAAUUCAGCGCGAACAACCCCUUCAAGGGGUCAGCAGCUGCUGUGGCGGCAGCAGCAGCAGCAGCAGCAGCAGCUGUAGCUGAGCAGGUGUCAGCUGCUGUCUCAUCGGCCACCCCCAUAGCACCCUCCGGACCCCCCGCCCUUCCACCACCCCCUGCUGCUGAUAUCCAGCCCCCACCCAUCCGAAGAGCCAAAACCAAAGAGGGCAAAGGUCCAGGCCACAAGAGGCGGAGUAAGAGCCCCCGAGUGCCUGAUGGACGCAAGAAGCUUCGGGGAAAGAAGAUGGCACCACUCAAAAUAAAACUAGGACUGCUGGGUGGCAAGAGGAAGAAGGGAGGCUCGUAUGUUUUUCAGAGUGACGAAGGUCCUGAACCAGAAGCUGAGGAGUCAGACCUGGACAGUGGCAGUGUCCACAGUGCCUCAGGCCGGCCUGAUGGCCCUGUCCGCACCAAGAAACUAAAGAGAGGCCGGCCAGGAAGGAAGAAGAAGAAGGUCCUGGGCUGUCCUGCAGUGGCCGGGGAGGAGGAGGUUGAUGGCUACGAGACAGAUCACCAGGAUUACUGUGAGGUGUGCCAGCAGGGUGGGGAAAUUAUUCUGUGCGACACCUGCCCUCGUGCCUACCACCUCGUCUGCCUUGAUCCUGAACUUGACCGGGCUCCUGAGGGCAAAUGGAGCUGCCCUCACUGUGAGAAGGAGGGGGUCCAGUGGGAGGCCAAGGAGGAAGAGGAAGAAUACGAAGAGGAGGGAGAGGAGGAAGGGGAGAAGGAGGAGGAGGACGAUCACAUGGAGUACUGCCGUGUGUGCAAGGAUGGCGGGGAGCUCCUGUGCUGUGACGCGUGCAUCUCCUCCUACCACAUUCAUUGUCUAAAUCCUCCCCUGCCUGACAUUCCCAAUGGGGAAUGGCUGUGUCCCCGAUGCACAUGCCCCGUGCUGAAGGGCCGAGUGCAGAAGAUCCUGCAUUGGCGGUGGGGGGAGCCACCUGUAGCAGUGCCAGCCCCUCAACAGGCAGAUGGAAAUCCAGAUGUCCCACCACCCCGUCCUCUUCAAGGCAGAUCGGAGCGAGAGUUCUUUGUCAAGUGGGUAGGACUAUCCUACUGGCACUGCUCCUGGGCCAAGGAGCUUCAGCUGGAAAUCUUCCAUUUGGUAAUGUAUCGAAACUACCAGCGGAAGAAUGACAUGGAUGAGCCUCCACCCCUGGACUACGGCUCCGGUGAGGAUGAUGGGAAGAGUGACAAGCGGAAAGUGAAAGAUCCGCACUACGCUGAGAUGGAGGAGAAGUACUAUCGUUUUGGCAUCAAGCCAGAGUGGAUGACUGUCCACCGUAUCAUCAACCACAGUGUGGAUAAAAAGGGGAAUUACCACUAUCUAGUGAAAUGGAGGGACUUGCCAUAUGACCAGUCCACGUGGGAGGAAGAUGAAAUGAAUAUCCCUGAAUAUGAAGAACAUAAGCAAAGCUACUGGAGACACCGAGAACUAAUUAUGGGGGAAGACCCUGCCCAGCCCCGCAAGUAUAAGAAGAAGAAGAAGGAGCUACAGGGUGAUGGGCCUCCCAGUUCUCCCACUAAUGAUCCCACCGUGAAAUAUGAGACUCAGCCACGGUUUAUCACAGCCACUGGAGGCACCCUGCACAUGUAUCAGCUAGAAGGGCUCAACUGGCUCCGCUUCUCAUGGGCCCAGGGCACCGACACCAUUCUGGCUGAUGAGAUGGGGUUGGGCAAGACCAUACAAACCAUCGUCUUCCUCUACUCACUCUAUAAGGAGGGCCACACGAAAGGUCCCUUCUUGGUGAGUGCCCCACUCUCGACCAUCAUUAACUGGGAACGGGAGUUCCAGAUGUGGGCACCCAAAUUCUAUGUGGUGACAUACACGGGUGACAAGGACAGCCGGGCCAUCAUUCGUGAGAAUGAAUUCUCCUUUGAGGACAAUGCCAUCAAAGGGGGCAAGAAAGCUUUUAAGAUGAAGAGGGAGGCACAGGUGAAGUUCCAUGUUCUCCUGACAUCAUAUGAGCUGAUCACCAUUGAUCAGGCAGCACUUGGUUCCAUCCGCUGGGCCUGUCUUGUGGUGGAUGAGGCCCAUCGACUCAAGAACAACCAGUCCAAGUUUUUCAGGGUUCUCAAUGGUUACAAGAUAGAUCAUAAGUUGCUGCUGACAGGAACCCCAUUGCAGAACAAUCUGGAGGAGCUCUUCCAUCUCUUGAACUUCCUCACCCCAGAGAGAUUUAACAACUUGGAGGGCUUCCUGGAGGAGUUUGCUGACAUAUCCAAAGAGGACCAGAUCAAGAAACUGCAUGAUUUGCUGGGGCCACACAUGCUACGGAGGCUCAAGGCAGACGUCUUUAAGAACAUGCCAGCCAAGACAGAGCUCAUCGUUCGGGUGGAGCUAAGCCCCAUGCAGAAGAAAUACUACAAAUACAUUCUGACUCGAAAUUUCGAGGCCUUGAAUUCACGAGGUGGUGGGAACCAGGUGUCGCUGCUGAACAUCAUGAUGGAUCUUAAGAAGUGCUGCAACCAUCCAUACCUUUUUCCCGUGGCUGCUAUGGAGUCCCCAAAACUCCCCAGUGGGGCUUAUGAGGGUGGGGCACUUAUUAAGUCAUCUGGGAAGCUCAUGCUGCUACAGAAGAUGCUUCGAAAGCUGAAGGAGCAAGGACACAGAGUGCUCAUCUUCUCGCAGAUGACCAAAAUGUUAGACUUGCUUGAGGACUUCUUAGACUAUGAAGGCUAUAAGUAUGAGCGCAUCGAUGGUGGCAUCACUGGUGCCCUGAGGCAGGAGGCCAUCGAUCGGUUUAAUGCUCCUGGGGCCCAACAAUUCUGCUUCCUCCUGUCCACCCGUGCUGGGGGCCUGGGCAUCAAUCUGGCCACAGCUGACACUGUCAUCAUCUUUGAUUCUGACUGGAACCCCCAUAAUGACAUCCAGGCCUUUAGCCGGGCUCAUCGGAUUGGCCAGGCCAACAAAGUGAUGAUUUACCGGUUUGUGACUCGUGCGUCCGUGGAAGAGCGGAUCACACAAGUGGCCAAGAGAAAGAUGAUGCUGACACACCUGGUGGUGCGGCCCGGGCUGGGGUCCAAGGCAGGCUCCAUGUCCAAGCAGGAGCUGGACGACAUUCUUAAAUUUGGCACCGAAGAGCUGUUCAAGGAUGAAAACGAGGGAGAGAACAAGGAGGAGGACAGCAGCGUGAUUCAUUACGACAAUGAGGCCAUCGCUCGGCUGUUGGACCGGAACCAGGAUGCAACUGAGGACACUGAUGUGCAGAACAUGAAUGAGUAUCUCAGCUCCUUCAAGGUGGCACAGUACGUCGUGCGGGAAGAAGACAAGAUUGAGGAAAUCGAGCGAGAGAUCAUCAAGCAGGAGGAGAAUGUGGACCCUGACUACUGGGAGAAGCUGCUGAGGCAUCACUAUGAGCAACAGCAGGAAGACCUGGCCCGGAAUCUAGGCAAAGGCAAGCGGGUUCGCAAGCAAGUUAACUAUAAUGAUGCUGCUCAGGAAGACCAAGACAACCAGUCAGAAUACUCGGUGGGAUCAGAGGAGGAGGAUGAAGACUUCGAUGAACGUCCCGAAGGGCGUCGACAGUCAAAGAGGCAGCUCCGGAAUGAGAAAGAUAAGCCACUGCCUCCACUGCUGGCCCGAGUUGGGGGCAACAUUGAGGUGCUGGGCUUCAACACCCGUCAGCGGAAGGCUUUCCUCAAUGCCGUGAUGCGCUGGGGGAUGCCACCACAGGAUGCCUUCACCACGCAGUGGCUGGUGCGGGACCUGAGGGGCAAGACUGAGAAGGAGUUUAAGGCCUAUGUAUCUUUGUUCAUGCGCCAUCUAUGUGAGCCUGGGGCAGACGGCUCUGAAACCUUUGCUGAUGGGGUCCCUCGGGAGGGGCUGAGUCGCCAGCAGGUGUUGACCCGCAUUGGAGUCAUGUCUCUCGUCAAGAAGAAGGUGCAGGAGUUUGAGCACAUCAAUGGGCGUUGGUCAAUGCCGGAACUGAUGCCCGACCCCAGUGCUGACUCUAAGCGUUCCUCCAGAGCCUCCUCUCCUACCAAAACGUCUCCCACCACUCCUGAGGCUUCUGCUACCAACAGUCCCUGCACCUCUAAACCUGCUACUCCAGCUCCAAGUGAGAAAGGAGAAGGCAUAAGGAUACCUCUUGAGAAGGAGGAAGUUGAAAGCCAAGAGGAAAAGCCAGAGAAGAACAGCAAAAUUGGGGAGAAGAUGGAGACAGAGGCUGAUGCCCCCAGCCCAGCCCCAUCACUCGGGGAGCGGCUGGAGCCAAGGAAGAUUCCUCUAGAGGAUGAGGUGCCAGGGGUACCUGGAGAGAUGGAGCCUGAACCUGGGUACCGUGGGGACAGAGAGAAGUCAGCCACAGAGUCGACGCCAGGAGAAAGGGGGGAGGAGAAGCCGUUGGAUGGACAGGAACACAGGGAGAGGCCGGAGGGGGAAACGGGGGAUUUGGGCAAGAGAGAAGAUGUAAAAGGUGACCGGGAGCUUCGACCAGGGCCUCGAGAUGAGCCACGGUCCAAUGGGCGACGAGAGGAAAAGACCGAGAAGCCCCGGUUCAUGUUCAAUAUCGCAGAUGGUGGCUUCACAGAGCUUCACACACUGUGGCAAAAUGAGGAACGGGCAGCUAUUUCCUCGGGGAAACUCAAUGAGAUCUGGCACAGAAGACAUGACUAUUGGCUUCUGGCUGGGAUUGUCCUCCAUGGCUACGCACGGUGGCAGGACAUCCAGAAUGAUGCUCAAUUUGCCAUUAUCAAUGAGCCAUUUAAAACUGAAGCCAAUAAGGGGAACUUUCUGGAGAUGAAAAAUAAGUUCCUGGCCCGGAGGUUCAAGCUCCUGGAGCAGGCGCUGGUGAUUGAGGAGCAGCUGCGGCGGGCGGCCUACCUGAACCUGUCGCAGGAGCCGGCGCACCCCGCCAUGGCCCUCCACGCCCGCUUCGCCGAGGCCGAGUGCCUGGCCGAGAGCCACCAGCACCUCUCCAAGGAGUCGCUGGCGGGGAACAAGCCGGCCAACGCCGUCCUGCACAAGGCUCUGACACCACUCACCACCUCCCGUGCCUCCUGACUGUUUCCUCCCCAUCAUCCCCAACCCCAAACCUUGCUCUUCCAGUAUGAGAUGUUCUGACAACUCCCCGCCCCCAUGUCUUCCGAUACCCCCCCCAUCCUCCUUUUCUCCAUACUCCCUUUUUCCUUCUUCUUUCUUUCCAUUGGUCUUCUGUGGUCAUCUGUUCUCUCUGUCUCUCUUCCUGAUGCUUGGUCUUCUCCCCUGAGUUGCUUCUGUUUUCUGUCUACUUGUUUUACUUCCUUGAUUUCUGGUUCUUUGACAUCCGUAUCCUCCUCUCUCGCUCUUUUUCUGCCUGUAUCUGUCCAUCUGAUGCCUCUUUUCCUGGCUCCAUCUCUCUAUUUCCCUGUCUUUCUCUUCCCCUUCUUUCUCUGUGGCCCGGGCCCCAGUUCUGAACCAGCUGGAGGAGUUGCUGAGCGACAUGAAGGCGGACGUGACCCGCCUGCCAGCCACACUGUCGCGAAUACCCCCCAUCGCAGCCCGCCUUCAGAUGUCCGAGCGCAGCAUCCUCAGCCGGCUGGCCAGCAAGGGCACGGAGCCUCACCCCACACCGGCCUUCCCCCCGGGUCCCUACGCUACACCUCCGGGGUACGGGGCGGCCUUCAGCGCCGCACCCGUAGGGGCCUUGGCCGCCGCAGGCGCCAAUUACAGCCAGAUGCCAGCAGGGUCCUUCAUCACAGCCGCCACCAACGGCCCUCCAGUGCUGGUGAAGAAGGAGAAGGAAAUGGUGGGGGCAUUGGUGUCAGACGGGCUGGAUCGGAAGGAGCCCCGAGCCGGGGAGGUGAUCUGUAUAGACGACUGACUGGAUCCCAGGCCUGCCCUUCACCCAGGCCCCGUCCCCGAGGCCGACCCCCAGCUCAAGCACUGGGGCCUGCUGCCAACCCUCCGCCUUCCCCACCCCUUGGGCCAUCACUGGGCUAGGAACCCCUUUGUCCUUCUCUGCAGCUCCUCUCUUCAAGAAGGGCCCUUUGUCUUUCUCCACUCCCACGCACCUUUCCCACCAAGCCUUGAAGACUGUGCUGGUGAGAAGGGGUCUGGGUGGGAGAUGGUUUGCAGGGUCUUCCAAGUACCUUCAUCCCCCACUGCCAAGUAUACACAACUUCCCAGUAAAUGGUUGUGGGGAGGAAAGAGGUGGAGCCUCCCCAGUCGUUUCCCUGCAGUAUCAGCUCCAUCUCUUACAGAAGUGGAGGAUUAGCCUUGCCUGGCCUCUAGGAACUUUUGUGGGGAAGACAGCUUUGAAGAGAGGAGGGGGACUUUUAGAGAGGGAUGAAAAUGAGCCCUGGGAGGGAGGAAGGGAAGAGGAGGGGUGGCUGCAUGUUACCUUCCCUACCUCUCCCCACAUGGAGGGUGGAGCAGUUAUGAGGGAGGAAGUCAAUUGCUGUUCAGCCUCAGAAUAAAGGCGCCGUUCACUGGCUCAGUUACCUCCUGUGUACCGGCAUCUUGUGUUGGGAAUCCCCCUCUCUAGGGACCAAGGACCACCCCUACAAAAAGAGUAAUGGUUGGGUGAUAACUCCCUCAAGCCAAAGAGGAGCUCCCCAACCUGUUCUAGGGACCCAGGUAACCUAGAAGGGUGGGAGAGAAUACAGUGGGCCAGACAUGGGGGAAGCCCCCAGCUCUGGGGCUCAGGUUCCUCGAAGACUUUACUACCCUCCCUCCUCAAGGCCUAGAUACAGACUACAUUUGCUAAGUCAGGCAGGGGACCUAGUCAGAGUCUUGGGACCGACCUUGUCGUUGGGACCAGAGCAAAAUAGUGGAGGGCAGGCUAGGGAAAUGUGGGCACAUCCCCCCUCCCAGGAGGGGCUGGGGAGAGUGGCAGUUUGCAUGGCGAACCCCCCACUUCCUCUUUGCUGCCCCUUCACCUUCUUGCCACCCCUUUCCCAGUAUCUCUUCACACCCACUCCUGGUCUGUCCUGAUCCCCUCUUCUGUAUCAGGUUUAUUGGUUGUACAUAUAAAUUAUACUUUCCUUUC
Saimiri boliviensis boliviensis (Bolivian squirrel monkey) is the source of this 7791-nucleotide non-coding RNA. The record is from RefSeq and is a predicted model, not a curated record. NCBI's taxonomy places the organism in Eukaryota, Metazoa, Chordata, Mammalia, Primates, Cebidae.